RNAcentral lists this non-coding RNA (31 nucleotides) under Mus musculus (house mouse). The record is from RNAcentral. Lineage: Eukaryota; Metazoa; Chordata; Mammalia; Rodentia; Muridae.
AGCAAUGAUACAUAACAUAUCCUAUCCGAGA